AUACCUUUCUCGGCCUUUUGGCUAAGAUCAAGUGUAGUAUCUGUUCUUAUCAGUUUAAUAUCUGAUACGUGGGCCAAUGGUCCACAUGAUAUUAAAUUAAUUUUUUCUAGGGAAGAGCUCGUUACAAUAGCUUGCUAUUGGAGUUCUUGAGCGUCGCCCUUGCGUUGCACUACUGCAAGGGCCUGGCGCACCCCAC
This 196-nucleotide small nuclear RNA is filed under the name Manihot esculenta (cassava). RNAcentral describes it as "U2 spliceosomal RNA". It matches the Rfam family "U2 spliceosomal RNA". Rfam says of the family: U2 is a small nuclear RNA (snRNA) component of the spliceosome (involved in pre-mRNA splicing). Complementary binding between U2 snRNA (in an area lying towards the 5' end but 3' to hairpin I) and the branchpoint sequence (BPS) of the intron results the bulging out of an unpaired adenosine, on the BPS, which initiates a nucleophilic attack at the intronic 5' splice site, thus starting the first of two transesterification reactions that mediate splicing. The record is from Rfam by way of RNAcentral. Lineage: Eukaryota; Viridiplantae; Streptophyta; Magnoliopsida; Malpighiales; Euphorbiaceae.